RNAcentral lists this small RNA (389 nucleotides) under Acronychia imperforata. RNAcentral's name for it is "eukaryotic LSU rRNA". The stretch from base 1 to 128 matches the Rfam family "5.8S ribosomal RNA", at positions 29 to 154 of the family's 154-position model. The record is from RNAcentral. Lineage: Eukaryota; Viridiplantae; Streptophyta; Magnoliopsida; Sapindales; Rutaceae.
UGCAUCGAUGAAGAACGCAGCGAAAUGCGAUACUUGGUGUGAAUUGCAGAAUCCCGUGAACCAUCGAGUCUUUGAACGCAAGUUGCGCCCCAAGCUGUUAGGCUGAGGGCACGUCUGCCUGGGUGUCACGCAUCAUUGCCCCACCCCACCCUUAUGGGGCCAGGUGGUGUGGGCGGAGAAUGGCCUCCCGUGAACAACCACUCGCGGUUGGCCCAAAUAUGAGUACUCGGUGACCAAAGCCGCGACGAUCGGUGGUGCAAACAUGCCUCUCGAGUUCACGUCGUGUGCCUGUGUCUUCCAUAAGAGAGACUCAAGGACCCUGACGCUAUGCAAAAGCAGAGCUCGCACCGCGACCCCAGGUCAGGCGGGAUUACCCGCUGAGUUUAAGC